Molecule: long non-coding RNA, 711 nt
Organism: Notothenia coriiceps (black rockcod)
Lineage: Eukaryota; Metazoa; Chordata; Actinopteri; Perciformes; Nototheniidae
Exons: 3
Source: RefSeq, a predicted model, not a curated record
ACUUCGUGGGCUCUCCGUUUUAUAACGAUUAUGGCCAGCUUUUCCCCUCACAGUGUUGUCCAGGCCAUGUUGGUCCGUGUAACCAAAUGGUAGCAGACUGUGACACGACGAUCACAGGUUGCUUUCCAAAGAUCAAGCAGCUGAUUGACGAAAACACAUCGGUUAUUGUCGGAGUCGCCUGGGAAUUGCAGCUCUGGAGAUAUGUGCCAUAGCUGUUGCCAUGAUCCGUUACUGCAGAAUAAAAUCCAGGGGGAACUAACUGCAAAUGGAAAAGGAUCGGUCUAAUCACUGGAGCAUUUACUUCCUUUAUCCCCUCUAGAAGAAUGAAGGGCUAUGAUUGUAUUUUGCUAAAAAUGCCUCGUUAUUAAAGAUAUCAGAUAUUUUGAAAUCAGAACGACUGAAUGACAUAACAAAUCAAUUUGUAUUACAUUUAAAUCUAUCUAAUAGAUGCCGCACCUGAAUGAUCUAUUUCCUAAGAACAAAAAAAGCUUCACAUACUGCCUACUUUAUCAAAAAUAUUUAAAAUAUCAUCAGUCACUCACUAAUGUACCACAUGGCCAGGUGAUGACAAAGGCUGGCAUGCAGAACACAGGAAACACUAUUGUAAUGUUGUUGCCAUGAUGCAGCUUGUGAAAUAGCAAUAGGAGUUAUGCAUUAUUUCUAUGUAUGUUGUGUGGUGAUCAAUUUUAAAAUAAUGUAUAAGGUAUUUCG